UGAGCAAAGAUCGCGCCACUGCACUCCAGCCCGGGCGACAGAGCUAGACUCCAUCUAACAACAACAACAACAACACAAAAUCGCGCCACUACACUCCAGCCAGGAUGGUGAGACCCUGUCUCAAAACAAACAGCGGCAACAUAAAAAACCCAAAAACCAAACCAUAACAAAAAAAACCUGGAAAUUGAACUUGGGCCCCAGGAUGGAAACUGACUACCUGAAGAGGUGCUUUGGAAAUUGCCUGGCCCAGGCACUUGCACUUGACAUGCAUGGGGAAGAAGACAAUUUGAAAGAAAAAUCUUUGUCACCUUGGGUAAGCAAAGAGUUCUUGGACAUAAGACCGACACCAAAGGACAAACUGAUAAGAUCCUGGCCUUUACAGUUCAAGGUUAUACAUAAACGGGUCUGGUUAAGAUAGGCAUGUCUG
This 427-nucleotide long non-coding RNA is filed under the name Pan troglodytes (chimpanzee). Its description in RNAcentral is "long non-coding RNA NONPTRT003807". The record is from RNAcentral. Lineage: Eukaryota; Metazoa; Chordata; Mammalia; Primates; Hominidae.